AGCAGCCGCGGUAAUUCCAGCUCCAAUAGCGUAUAUUAAAGUUGUUGCAGUUAAAAAGCUCGUAGUUGAAUUUCGGGGUUAGUAAGUUGGUCAUGCCUUCGGUAUGUACUGGCUUUACUGAUUCCUCCUUCUUGACGAACCGUGAUGUCAUUAAUUUGGUGUUGCGGGAAAUCAGGACUGUUACUUUGAAAGAAUUAGAGUGUUUAAAGCAGGCUAACGCUUGAAUACAUUAGCAUGGAAUAAUGAAAUAGGACGUUAAUCCUAUUUUGUUGGUUUCUAGGAUCGACGUAAUGAUUAAUAGGGAUAGUUGGGGGCAUUAGUAUUCAAUUGUCAGAGGUGAAAUUCUUGGAUUUAUUGAAGACUAACUACUGCGAAAGCAUUUGCCAAGGAUGUUUUCAUUAAUCAAGAACGAAAGUUAGGGGAUCGAAGACGAUCAGAUACCGUCGUAGU
RNAcentral lists this ribosomal RNA (450 nucleotides) under uncultured Glomus. RNAcentral's name for it is "SSU rRNA". It matches the Rfam family "Eukaryotic small subunit ribosomal RNA", at positions 569 to 1024 of the family's 1831-position model. Lineage: Eukaryota; Fungi; Glomeromycota; Glomeromycetes; Glomerales; Glomeraceae. The record is from RNAcentral.